GCCGUGAGUGGAUGGAGUUGCAUGCGCUGCCUCUGUAACGGCUGAUGUAAGCGGCACAAAUUGGCAGCCGCCAAGGGCAGAUUCUGUGAGGAUACCUUCGUGAUGACAAACAAGACGUGCAGUCAAGCUGGAGGAGGUUUCCAAGUCAUGAGGAUGAGAUUUGUCCAAACGUGGACGGCUUGCUGACUUGUGCGGGCGGAUUCUCUACCAUGGUCCCUGGUUGACCGGAACGGAAGUUUUGAUCUGGUGUAGGUGCUUUAAUCAUUUCAGUUUUUUCGACAUGUUGAUGUGAAAAAGGGUGAAGUGUGACCUAGUAAAAAGAAAGCCCCAAAAAAAGAAAGAAAGUCUGCAUUGUUACAGACUACCGUUCUACAGCAUGAGGUCGUUUUUAAAUA
Molecule: long non-coding RNA, 395 nt
Filed under: Scophthalmus maximus (turbot)
Lineage: Eukaryota; Metazoa; Chordata; Actinopteri; Pleuronectiformes; Scophthalmidae
Description: lncRNA (ENSSMAG00000037264.1)
Source: RNAcentral